GGCUCAGGACGAACGCUGGCGGCGUGCUUAACACAUGCAAGUCGAACGGUGAAGCCCUUCGGGGUGGAUCAGUGGCGAACGGGUGAGUAACACGUGGGCAAUCUGCCCUGCACUCUGGGACAAGCCCUGGAAACGGGGUCUAAUACCGGAUACGACCCGGGACCGCAUGGUCUCGGGUGGAAAGCUCCGGCGGUGCAGGAUGAGCCCGCGGCCUAUCAGCUUGUUGGUGGGGUAAUGGCCUACCAAGGCGACGACGGGUAGCCGGCCUGAGAGGGCGACCGGCCACACUGGGACUGAGACACGGCCCAGACUCCUACGGGAGGCAGCAGUGGGGAAUAUUGCACAAUGGGCGCAAGCCUGAUGCAGCGACGCCGCGUGAGGGAUGACGGCCUUCGGGUUGUAAACCUCUUUCAGCAGGGAAGAAGCGCAAGUGACGGUACCUGCAGAAGAAGCACCGGCUAACUACGUGCCAGCAGCCGCGGUAAUACGUAGGGUGCGAGCGUUGUCCGGAAUUAUUGGGCGUAAAGAGCCCGUAGGCGGCCUGUCGCGUCGGAUGUGAAAGCCCGGGGCUUAACCCCGGGUCUGCAUUCGAUACGGGCAGGCUAGAGUGUGGUAGGGGAGAUCGGAAUUCCUGGUGUAGCGGUGAAAUGCGCAGAUAUCAGGAGGAACACCGGUGGCGAAGGCGGAUCUCUGGGCCAUUACUGACGCUGAGGAGCGAAAGCGUGGGGAGCGAACAGGAUUAGAUACCCUGGUAGUCCACGCCGUAAACGUUGGGAACUAGGUGUUGGCGACAUUCCACGUCGUCGGUGCCGCAGCUAACGCAUUAAGUUCCCCGCCUGGGGAGUACGGCCGCAAG
Molecule: ribosomal RNA, 856 nt
Filed under: uncultured bacterium
Lineage: Bacteria
Description: bacterial SSU rRNA
Rfam family: Bacterial small subunit ribosomal RNA
Source: RNAcentral